RNAcentral lists this ribosomal RNA (429 nucleotides) under Chloroflexota bacterium. RNAcentral's name for it is "Chloroflexi bacterium partial 16S ribosomal RNA". It matches the Rfam family "Bacterial small subunit ribosomal RNA", at positions 355 to 776 of the family's 1533-position model. Lineage: Bacteria; Bacillati; Chloroflexota. The record is from RNAcentral.
UGGGGAAUAUUGCACAAUGGGCGCAAGCCUGAUGCAGCCAUGCCGCGUGUGUGAAGAAGGCCUUCGGGUUGUAAAGCACUUUCAGCGGGGAGGAAGGCGGUGAGGUUAAUAACCUCAUCGAUUGACGUCACCCGCAGAAGAAUCACCGGCUAUCUCCGUGCCAGCAGCCGCGGUAAUACGGAGGGUGCAAGCGCUAAUCGGAAUUACUGGGCGUAAAGCGCACGCAGGCGGUCUGUCAAGUCGGAUGUGAAAUCCCCGGGCUCAACCUGGGAACUGCAUUCGAAACUGGCAGGCUAGAGUCUUGUAGAGGGGGGUAGAAUUCCAGGUGUAGCGGUGAAAUACGUAGAGAUCUGGAGGAAUACCGGUGGCGAAGGCGGCCCCCUGGACAAAGACUGACGCUCAGGUGCGAAAGCGUGGGGAGCAAACAGG